GAGGCCCCACAUCCAGGAAGGCAGCAGGCGCGAAAAUUACCCACUUCCGCGCGGAGAGGUAGUGACUAGUCAUAACAAAUAUAGACCCUAGUGGUUUGUAUUUGGACUGGUGAGAUGUUAUAAAUAUCUCAGUAAUCUAGAUCAGGGCAAGUCUGGUGCCAGCAGCCGCGGUAAUACCAGCCUGAUCAAGCGUAUGCUUUAGUUGCUGCGUUUAAAAAGCUCAUAGUUGGAUCUUCGAAAGCGUGAUCAUCAAAGGGCGUAGUUCGGUUACGGUCGUUCUAUUCCUGGUCACGGUCUUUCACUAUACUUGGAAGACAGUUUAUUCUUAACUGAAUAGACUGAUCGAAAACAAGUGAUAAACCUUGAAAAAAUUAGAGUGCUCAAAGCAAGCUUUGGCCUUGAAUUUUAAAGCAUGGAAUUGAGGAAGAGGACCAUUAUGGUCGUGAACCAUUUUGGUAAUGAUUAAAAGGAACAGACGGGGGCAUACGUAUUGCUCGGGGAGGGGUGAAAUCCGUAGAUCCCAGCAGGACGACCUACUGCGAAAGCAUUUGCCAAGAAUGUUUUCAUUAAUCAAGAACGAAAGUUAGAGUAUUAAAGAGGAUUAGAUACCCUCGUAAUUCUAACCUUAAACGAUACCAUCGUAAUCUUUAGCC
Molecule: ribosomal RNA, 653 nt
Filed under: Waminoa sp. 1 OB-2008
Lineage: Eukaryota; Metazoa; Xenacoelomorpha; Acoela; Haploposthiidae
Description: bacterial SSU rRNA
Rfam family: Eukaryotic small subunit ribosomal RNA
Source: RNAcentral